RNAcentral lists this ribosomal RNA (440 nucleotides) under uncultured bacterium. RNAcentral describes it as "partial 16S ribosomal RNA". It matches the Rfam family "Bacterial small subunit ribosomal RNA", at positions 338 to 795 of the family's 1533-position model. The record is from RNAcentral.
CCUACGGGGUGCAGCAGUAGGGAAUCUUGCACAAUGGGGGAAAGCCUGAUGCAGCGACGCCGCGUGAGUGAUGAAGUAUUUCGGGAUGUAAAGUUCUAUCAGCAGGGAAGAUAAUGACGGUACCUGAUUAAGAAGCCCCGGCUAACUACGUGCCAGCAGCCGCGGUAAUACGUAGGGGGCAAGCGUUAUCCGGAUUUACUGGGUGUAAAGGGUGCGUAGGUGGCAGAGCAAGUUAGAGGUGAAAGCCCGGGGCUCAAACCUGGGACUGCAUUUGAGACUGUCCAGCUGGAGUGCCGGAGAGGUAAGCGGAAUUCCUAGUGUAGCGGUGAAAUGCGUAGAUAUUAGGAGGAACACCAGUGGCGAAGGCGGCUUACUGGACUGUAACUGACACUGAGGCACGAAAGCGUAGGGAGCAAACAGGAUUAGAUACCCUUGUAGUC